UACGAAGGGGGCUAGCGUUGCUCGGAAUCACUGGGCGUAAAGCGCACGUAGGCGGGUCGUUAAGUCAGGGGUGAAAUCCUGGAGCUCAACUCCAGAACUGCCUUUGAUACUGGGAAUCUCGAGUCCGGGAGAGGUGAGUGGAACUGCGAGUGUAGAGGUGAAAUUCGUAGAUAUUCGCAAGAACACCAGUGGCGAAGGCGGCUCACUGGCCCGGUACUGACGCUGAGGUGCGAAAGCGUGGGGAGCAAACAGG
This 253-nucleotide ribosomal RNA is filed under the name uncultured bacterium. Its description in RNAcentral is "partial 16S ribosomal RNA". It matches the Rfam family "Bacterial small subunit ribosomal RNA", at positions 524 to 776 of the family's 1533-position model. The record is from RNAcentral.